Molecule: long non-coding RNA, 461 nt
Organism: Cotesia glomerata
Lineage: Eukaryota; Metazoa; Arthropoda; Insecta; Hymenoptera; Braconidae
Exons: 3
Source: RefSeq, a predicted model, not a curated record
CUAGGCUGAAAGCCAAUUGGAAUCAACCAACCCUAAACACAUGGUUAAAUUUUGAAUCUCGAGUCUCAGCAGACAUAUUAGCGCAAAGCUCAAAGGUUGUAGUUAUCAAAGAUUUUGUCAGAAGUACAGUAUUCCAAAAAGAUUGAUGCUACCUCGAUUUAACGUUAAUCACUAAGCCCAUUAAGCUUCUGUUGCACAUAUUUGUGCAUGAAGAUGAAAAAGAUGUAGAGAUAUGGAUAUCCGAGGCUCGAUUAGCUAAACUAUUACAAACUAUCAUCCAUAAGUUCGCCUGACAAUGAAGCGUCGUGACAACUAGUACACAGAGUUUCGGUGUAUCGUCACAAAGGAUUUUAAUCGAUCUAAUAAUACCACCAUACGAUGUGUCACCGGCGAACGAAAGUUAACAUUUAACACGGCAAUAGUCACUACCACAGACAGAGUUACCAGCACCAUUGUGAACA